This 477-nucleotide ribosomal RNA is filed under the name Veillonella parvula. Its description in RNAcentral is "bacterial SSU rRNA". It matches the Rfam family "Bacterial small subunit ribosomal RNA", at positions 28 to 474 of the family's 1533-position model. Lineage: Bacteria; Bacillati; Bacillota; Negativicutes; Veillonellales; Veillonellaceae. The record is from RNAcentral.
GACGAACGCUGGCGGCGUGCUUAACACAUGCAAGUCGAACGAAGAGCGAUGGAAGCUUGCUUCUAUCAAUCUUAGUGGCGAACGGGUGAGUAACGCGUAAUCAACCUGCCCUUCAGAGGGGGACAACAGUUGGAAACGACUGCUAAUACCGCAUACGAUCUAACCUCGGCAUCGAGGAAAGAUGAAAGGUGGCCUCUAUGUAUAAGCUAUCACUGAAGGAGGGGAUUGCGUCUGAUUAGCUAGUUGGAGGGGUAACGGCCCACCAAGGCGAUGAUCAGUAGCCGGUCUGAGAGGAUGAACGGCCACAUUGGGACUGAGACACGGCCCAGACUCCUACGGGAGGCAGCAGUGGGGAAUCUUCCGCAAUGGACGAAAGUCUGACGGAGCAACGCCGCGUGUGUGAUGACGGCCUUCGGGUUGUAAAGCUCUGUUAAUCGGGACGAAAGGCCUUCUUGCGAAUAGUUAGAAGGAUUGACG